CCCUAGUUGGCUGAGUGGUAGAGCAUGAAACUCUUGACCUCAGGGUUGGGAGUUCAAACCUCACAUUGGGUA
This 72-nucleotide transfer RNA is filed under the name Felis catus (domestic cat). It matches the Rfam family "tRNA". From Rfam's summary of the family: Transfer RNA (tRNA) molecules are approximately 80 nucleotides in length. Their secondary structure includes four short double-helical elements and three loops (D, anti-codon, and T loops). The record is from Rfam by way of RNAcentral. Lineage: Eukaryota; Metazoa; Chordata; Mammalia; Carnivora; Felidae. RNAcentral also lists the same sequence under 1 other name.